Molecule: ribosomal RNA, 476 nt
Filed under: uncultured Syntrophus sp.
Lineage: Bacteria; Pseudomonadati; Thermodesulfobacteriota; Syntrophia; Syntrophales; Syntrophaceae
Description: bacterial SSU rRNA
Rfam family: Bacterial small subunit ribosomal RNA
Source: RNAcentral
UGAAUUGACGGGGGCCCGCGACAAGCGGUGGAGCAUGUGGUUUAAUUCGAUGCAACGCGAAGAACCUUACCUGGGCUUGACAUCCCGGGAAUCCCUUGGAAACAAGGGAGUGCCUUCGGGGAACCUGGAGACAGGUGCUGCAUGGCUGUCGUCAGCUCGUGUCGUGAGAUGUUGGGUUAAGUCCCGCAACGAGCGCAACCCUUGUCUUUAAUUGCCAUCAUUCAGUUGGGCACUUUUAAAGAGACUGUCGGUGUUAAACCGGAGGAAGUGGGAUGACGUCAAGUCCUCAUGGCCUUUAUGCCCAGGGCUACACACGUGCUACAAUGGGUGGUACAAAGAGCAGCAAGCUCGCGAGAGCAAGCGAAUCUCAAAAAGCCAUCCUCAGUUCGGAUUGAAGCCUGCAACUCGACUCCGUGAAGUUGGAAUCGCUAGUAAUCGUGGAUCAGCACGCCACGGUGAAUACGUUCCCGGGCCUU